RNAcentral lists this ribosomal RNA (253 nucleotides) under uncultured bacterium. RNAcentral's name for it is "partial 16S ribosomal RNA". It matches the Rfam family "Bacterial small subunit ribosomal RNA", at positions 524 to 776 of the family's 1533-position model. The record is from RNAcentral.
GACGUAGGGCGCGAGCGUUGUCCGGAUUUAUUGGGCGUAAAGAGCUCGUAGGCGGUUUGUCGCGUCGUUCGUGAAAACUCACAGCUCAACUGUGAGCUUGCGGUCGAUACGGGCAGGCUAGAGUUCGGUAGGGGAGACUGGAAUUCCUGGUGUAGCGGUGAAAUGCGCAGAUAUCAGGAGGAACACCGGUGGCGAAGGCGGGUCUCUGGGCCGUAACUGACGCUGAGGAGCGAAAGCAUGGGGAGCGAACAGG